This 25-nucleotide ribosomal RNA is filed under the name Carpinus fargesiana. Its description in RNAcentral is "partial 18S ribosomal RNA". Lineage: Eukaryota; Viridiplantae; Streptophyta; Magnoliopsida; Fagales; Betulaceae. The record is from RNAcentral.
CCGGUUGGGACUGCGGAUGACAUUG